GACGAACGCUGGCGGCGUGCUUAACACAUGCAAGUCGAACGGAAAGGCCCUGCUUUUGUGGGGUGCUCGAGUGGCGAACGGGUGAGUAACACGUGAGUAACCUGCCCUUGACUUUGGGAUAACUUCAGGAAACUGGGGCUAAUAUCGGAUAGGAGCUCCUGCUGCAUGGUGGGGGUUGGAAAGUUUCGGCGGUUGGGGAUGGACUCGCGGCUUAUCAGCUUGUUGGUGGGGUAGUGGCUUACCAAGGCUUUGACGGAUAGCCGGCCUGAGAGGGUGACCGGGCACAAUGGGACUAAGGUACGGCGCAGACUCCUACGUGAGGCAACAGUGGGAAAUAUUGCACAAUGGGCGGGAGCGUGAUGCAGCAGCGCCGCGUGCGGGAUGACGGCCUUCGGGUUGUAAACCGCUUUCGCCUGUGACGAAGCGUGAGUGACGGUAAUGAAUAAAGAAGCACCGGCUAACUACGUG
RNAcentral lists this ribosomal RNA (468 nucleotides) under uncultured bacterium. RNAcentral's name for it is "partial 16S ribosomal RNA". It matches the Rfam family "Bacterial small subunit ribosomal RNA", at positions 28 to 507 of the family's 1533-position model. The record is from RNAcentral.